UUUUAUGGAGAGUUUGAUCCUGGCUCAGGAUGAACGCUGGCGGCGUGCCUAAUACAUGCAAGUCGAGCGAACGGACGAGAAGCUUGCUUCUCUGAUGUUAGCGGCGGACGGGUGAGUAACACGUGGAUAACCUACCUAUAAGACUGGGAUAACUUCGGGAAACCGGAGCUAAUACCGGAUAAUAUUUUGAACCGCAUGGUUCAAAAGUGAAAGGCGGUCUUGCUGUCACUUAUAGAUGGAUCCGCGCUGCAUUAGCUAGUUGGUAAGGUAACGGCUUACCAAGGCAACGAUGCAUAGCCGACCUGA
This 306-nucleotide ribosomal RNA is filed under the name Staphylococcus aureus subsp. aureus IS-55. Its description in RNAcentral is "partial 16S ribosomal RNA". It matches the Rfam family "Bacterial small subunit ribosomal RNA", at positions 1 to 295 of the family's 1533-position model. Lineage: Bacteria; Bacillati; Bacillota; Bacilli; Caryophanales; Staphylococcaceae. The record is from RNAcentral.